This 460-nucleotide ribosomal RNA is filed under the name uncultured bacterium. Its description in RNAcentral is "partial 16S ribosomal RNA". It matches the Rfam family "Bacterial small subunit ribosomal RNA", at positions 338 to 795 of the family's 1533-position model. The record is from RNAcentral.
CCUACGGGAGGCAGCAGUGAGGAAUAUUGGUCAAUGGGCGCGAGCCUGAACCAGCCAAGUAGCGUGAAGGAUGACUGCCCUACGGGUUGUAAGCUUCUUUUAUAAAGGAAUAAAGUGAGGCACGUGUGCCUUUUUGUAUGUACUUUAUGAAUAAGGAUCGGCUAACUCCGUGCCAGCAGCCGCGGUAAUCCGGAGGAUCCGAGCGUUAUCCGGAUUUAUUUGGGUUAAAGGGAGCGUAGAUGGGUUGUUAAGUCAGUUGUGAAAGUUUGCGGCUCAACCGUAAAAUUGCAAUUGAUACUGGCAGUCUUGAGUACAGUAGAGGUAGGCGGAAUUCGGGGUGUAGCGGUGAAAUGCUUAGAUAUCACGAAGAACUCCGAUUGCGAAGGCAGCUUACUAGACUGCCACUGACAUUGAGGCUCGAAAGUGUGGGUAUCAAACAGGAGUAGAUACCCUAGUAGUC